UAGGGAAUCUUCCGCAAUGGACGCAAGUCUGACGGAGCAACGCCGCGUGAGUGAAGAAGGAUUUCGGUUCGUAAAACUCUGUUGUUAGAGAAGAACAGCGCAUCGAGUAACUGUUAUGCGUGUGACGGUAUCUAACCAGAAAGCCACGGCUAACUACGUGCCAGCAGCCGCGGUAAUACGUAGGUGGCAAGCGUUGUCCGGAUUUAUUGGGCGUAAAGCGAGCGCAGGCGGUCAAUUAAGUCUGAUGUGAAAGCCCCCGGCUCAACCGGAGAGGGUCAUUGGAAACUGGUUGACUUGAGUGCAGAAGAGGAGAGUGGAAUUCCAUGUGUAGCGGUGAAAUGCGUAGAUAUAUGGAGGAACACCAGUGGCGAAGGCGACUCUCUGGUCUGUAACUGACGCUGAGGCUCGAAAGCGUGGGUAGCAAACAGG
Molecule: ribosomal RNA, 429 nt
Filed under: Bacteroidota bacterium
Lineage: Bacteria; Pseudomonadati; Bacteroidota
Description: Bacteroidetes bacterium partial 16S ribosomal RNA
Rfam family: Bacterial small subunit ribosomal RNA
Source: RNAcentral